Molecule: transfer RNA, 68 nt
Filed under: Lissemys scutata (Burmese flap-shelled turtle)
Lineage: Eukaryota; Metazoa; Chordata; Testudines; Trionychidae
Description: tRNA-Glu
Rfam family: tRNA
About the family: Transfer RNA (tRNA) molecules are approximately 80 nucleotides in length. Their secondary structure includes four short double-helical elements and three loops (D, anti-codon, and T loops).
Source: RNAcentral
AUUUUUGUAGUUGAAUACAACGAUGGUUUUUCAAACCAGUAGUCUUGGUUGAAGCCCAAGCAAGAAUA